CUGCCAAAUAAAGUAUUUCUACAAGGAAUGGUCUAGAGAUUUUGAUGCUUUCCCUCAAAAGGCCAUUACACUCAGUUUUAUGAAAACAAAUAUGCAAAAUUUAAACAUUUUUAAACUAAGUCUGCAAAUGAGUCACUUCACAUGUUUUUUCACCCAUUUCUUUGUUCAGAAAGUAAAAUGAACUUUCUAGAGGUUAGAUAUAAACAUUUUCACCCUCUGUUCUGAACUGCAGUUAAAGCAAAAGUUUCAAAUUAUAUAACAAAAUUAAUUUUAGAGUUGAUGGGGGGGAAUCUUUUUUCAUAGGUUUUGUGAUUUGAUUUGCAAGUUUUUAUGUAACAAUGUAGAAUUAGCACACAUCACAAAAAUGUGCAAGACAAAGUUGGAGCCAUAUUUUAUUUUCACUUUAAUUUAAAUGGGAAAGCAAUAGAGCUUGCUUUGGCUCUAUGUCCUAUUAAUGUUGACUCAUCUGCUACUGAACUGCUCCUGAGCAUCCAACUAAUAGCAAUAAUAUUGUCUAGUGAGAUAAGUUAAUAUAUUUGUAAUGCAUACUAUCAUACGCAUGAUUUCCUUCAGCUUUUCCCUUCAAAUUUGAUCACUGAAAUAAUUAUCCUUAAAUAUUCUUUGCUCCCCCACAUCCAUACACAUAAGACUAUAUAGUAAUUAACUCUACCUAACAAAUGACUUGUACUAGUUUUUAUAAGAAGGCUUGUUGAUGGAAUAGAUUGACUGUUAGAAUCCAAGUAAAGUUAUGUAAGGUUAUUUUUUCCCAUUGAUUAGCUUUCAAUUAGUAAGAUUCUUCAUAAAAAAAUCCAUUAUGCAUGAUUACUUUUUAUUUAUAUAACAUAAUUUAAGAAGGCUAUUUUAAAUUUAACUUCCCAGUAGUCUUUUAGGCACCCUAGAAUUCCCAGGGAGGAGGGAUAAUCUCUUCUUGCCAUAUACUCAGAAGACUUUAGCCAGUUUUUAUAUAAGGAAUGGAACAUAAAUUUACUUGAUGAGCAAAGAUGGUUCAUCUAGUCAAAAGGAUCAUGUUGAUUUUUCUCUCUCUGCAUAAUUGUUUAAAUAAAAUAUGAAGUUCAAGAAAAAAGUUUAGGUUUCUUAAGCAACAUGAUUCAAGGAAAACUAGCAGUGUCUAAUUUUAAUUUUAUGAAUGGGAAGAGAGACAGCAGAGUAUAAUGGAAAAGAUUUUGCUUUUGAAGUCAGAACAUCUGGAUUGUAAUAACAGCUCUGAUACUCACCAUUUCUGUGAUCCUGGGCAAAUCACUUUGCCACAUUCUGCUUUAGUUAUAGAAAGAGGGGACUAGAGUAAAUAAUCUCUGAUUUUUUUUCCACUUCUAAAUCUAUGAUCCUUUGAAUUCAGCUACUUUCAGGUUUCUUAGAGGACAAGUUCCUGAGCUCCUUAAAAAUGGACACUUGAAAAAGGAAAUUAUAUCAGUAGG
RNAcentral lists this long non-coding RNA (1436 nucleotides) under Sarcophilus harrisii (Tasmanian devil). RNAcentral describes it as "lncRNA (ENSSHAG00000026148.1)". Lineage: Eukaryota; Metazoa; Chordata; Mammalia; Dasyuromorphia; Dasyuridae. The record is from RNAcentral.